UGCCAGCAGCCGCGGUAAUACGGAGGGUGCAAGCGUUAUCCGGAUUUAUUGGGUUUAAAGGGUGCGUAGGCGGAAUAAUAAGUCAGUGGUGAAAUCCUGCGGCUCAACCGUAGAACUGCCAUUGAUACUGUUAUUCUUGAGUCAUUAUGAAGUGGUUAGAAUGUGUAGUGUAGCGGUGAAAUGCAUAGAUAUUACACAGAAUACCGAUUGCGAAGGCAGAUCACUAAACUAUUAUUGACGCUGAGAUGCGAAAGCGUGGGGAGCAAACAGGAUUAGAUA
Molecule: ribosomal RNA, 279 nt
Filed under: uncultured bacterium
Lineage: Bacteria
Description: partial 16S ribosomal RNA
Rfam family: Bacterial small subunit ribosomal RNA
Source: RNAcentral